GCAACAGCGAUAAGGGAACCUCGAGUGCCAGGUUACAAAUCUGGCUGUCGAGAUGCCUAAAAGGCAUUUCAUAGCAAGGGCCGGGCAAGACCGGUGCCAGCCGCCGCGGUAACACCGGCGGCUCGAGUGGUAACCGUUAUUAUUGGGUCUAAAGGGUCUGUAGCCGGCCGGAUAAGUCUCUUGAGAAAUCUGGCAGCUUAACUGUCAGGCUUUCAGGAGAUACUGUCUGGCUCGAGGCCGGGAGAGGUGAGAGGUACUUCAGGGGUAGGGGUGAAAUCUUGUAAUCCUUGAAGGACCACCAGUGGCGAAGGCGUCUCACCAGAACGGACCUGACGGCAAGGGACGAAAGCUAGGGGCACGAACCGGAUUAGAUACCCGGGUAGUCCUAGCCGUAAACGAUACUCGCUAGGUGUCGGCCACGGUGCGACCGUUGUCGGUGCCGUAGGGAAGCCGUGAAGCGAGC
This 463-nucleotide ribosomal RNA is filed under the name uncultured archaeon. RNAcentral's name for it is "bacterial SSU rRNA". It matches the Rfam family "Archaeal small subunit ribosomal RNA", at positions 361 to 824 of the family's 1478-position model. The record is from RNAcentral.